UUUCCGUAGGUGAACCUGCGGAAGGAUCAUUAAUGAGUUGUCAUGGGGUUCGAUGCUGGCAGCCAGUUCUUGGAUGCAUGUGCUUGCCCUAACAAUCAUCUUCUUCCAAACACCUGUGCACAUUUUUGAGGGAGUCUUGAGUUGGUUGCCGCUCUUGGGUGAUUUUCUCACAUUCCCUUAAAUCAUUAUACGCUAUUAACAAUGUUGAACGUGCUCUGUGCCGCAAGGCCAUUAAUACAAUACAACUUUUAACAACGGAUCUCUUGGCUCUC
Molecule: unclassified non-coding RNA, 272 nt
Filed under: plant metagenome
Description: partial contains small subunit ribosomal RNA, internal transcribed spacer 1, and 5.8S ribosomal RNA
Source: RNAcentral